UACAGAGGGGGCAAGCGUUGUUCGGAAUUACUGGGCGUAAAGGGCGCGUAGGCGGCCCGCUAAGUCGAACGUGAAAUCCCUGGGCUCAACCCAGGAACUGCGUCCGAUACUGGCAGGCUUGAAUCCGGGAGAGGGAUGUGGAAUUCCAGGUGUAGCGGUGAAAUGCGUAGAUAUCUGGAGGAACACGGGUGGCGAAGGCGGCAUCCUGGACCGGUAUUGACGCUGAUGCGCGAAAGCCAGGGGAGCAAACGGG
Molecule: ribosomal RNA, 253 nt
Filed under: uncultured bacterium
Lineage: Bacteria
Description: partial 16S ribosomal RNA
Rfam family: Bacterial small subunit ribosomal RNA
Source: RNAcentral